GAUGAAGAACGUAGCGAAAUGCGAUAAGUAGUGUGAAUUGCAGAAUUCAGUGAAUCAUCGAAUCUUUGAACGCACAUUGCGCCCCUUGGUAUCCCGAGGGGCUUGCCUGUUCGAGCGUCAUUUCACCACUCAAGCCUGGCUUGGUGUUGGGCGACGUCCUCUUUGGGGACGCGCCUCGAAACGCUCGGCGGCGUGGCACCGGCUUUAAGCGUAGCAGAAUCUUUCGCUUUGGAAGUCGGGGCCCCGUCUGCCGGAAGACCUGCUCGCAAGGUUGACCUCGGAUCAGGCAGGGAUACCCGCUGAACUUAAGCAUAUCAAUAAGCGGAGGA
This 329-nucleotide unclassified non-coding RNA is filed under the name soil metagenome. RNAcentral's name for it is "partial contains 5.8S ribosomal RNA, internal transcribed spacer 2, and large subunit ribosomal RNA". The stretch from base 1 to 120 matches the Rfam family "5.8S ribosomal RNA", at positions 35 to 154 of the family's 154-position model. The record is from RNAcentral.